UGAAGAGGACAGAGAGAAGAUGACAGAUCCAGAACCCUGCAGAAUGAAAUAUACCAAAUAUACUGAAGAAGAAACAGUGUUGAUUGAAGAAAAUGAACUGAGUGAAGAACUGAAUGAAGAACUGAGUGAAGUUAAGGAGAAAAAUCAUAUUAAAACUGGAAAAAAA
This is a long non-coding RNA of Sinocyclocheilus grahami, 166 nucleotides long. RefSeq lists it as uncharacterized. The record is from RefSeq and is a predicted model, not a curated record. The transcript is spliced from 2 exons. Lineage: Eukaryota; Metazoa; Chordata; Actinopteri; Cypriniformes; Cyprinidae.